GAUGAACGCUGGCGGCGUGCCUAAUACAUGCAAGUCGAUCGAACAGACGAGGAGCUUGCUCCUCUGACGUUAGCGGCGGACGGGUGAGUAACACGUGGAUAACCUACCUAUAAGACUGGGAUAACUUCGGGAAACCGGAGCUAAUACCGGAUAAUAUAUUGAACCGCAUGGUUCAAUAGUUAAAUACGGUUUUGCUGUCACUUAUAGAUGGAUCCGCGCCGCAUUAGCUAGUUGGUAAGGUAACGGCUUACCAAGGCAACGAUGCGUAGCCGACCUGAGAGGGUGAUCGGCCACACUGGAACUGAGACACGGUCCAGACUCCUACGGGAGGCAGCAGUAGGGAAUCUUCCGCAAUGGGCGAAAGCCUGACGGAGCAACGCCGCGUGAGUGAUGAAGGUCUUCGGAUCGUAAAACUCUGUUAUUAGGGAAGAACAAAUGUGUAAGUAACUAUGCACGUCUUGACGGUACCUAAUCAGAAAGCCACGGCUAACUACGUG
Molecule: ribosomal RNA, 497 nt
Filed under: uncultured bacterium
Lineage: Bacteria
Description: partial 16S ribosomal RNA
Rfam family: Bacterial small subunit ribosomal RNA
Source: RNAcentral